Molecule: non-coding RNA, 151 nt
Filed under: bovine gut metagenome
Source: RNAcentral
AAGUGCUCCACAUAGUGGAGAUAAUAGGGAACCGGGUGAAAAUCCCGGGCGAUCAGGUCACUGUAACAGACAGGGCCGGCGCACAAUGCCAUUGCCACAAGCGAGAAGGCGCGCCGCACCCGCAGGCUGAAGCCAGGAAACCUGCUUAAAC